Molecule: long non-coding RNA, 465 nt
Organism: Xenopus laevis (African clawed frog)
Lineage: Eukaryota; Metazoa; Chordata; Amphibia; Anura; Pipidae
Exons: 3
Source: RefSeq, a predicted model, not a curated record
AGAAGAUUAAGAACCCAUGACAGCUUUCAAUGAAAAGCACAAAAGGAAGUACUUGACUUGCUCCCAGUGUUUAUUACUGGCAAGAUAAGAAACCUUCAGAUAAGAAACCUUUGUACUAAAUCCUGAUGCAGGGACAGGUACUGCAACAUUGUUAGAAUUGUUUGCUACAUUUGAAGCAUUGCACUUAUAUCUUUUCCCUCUGGACUUUGAACUUUACUAUUUGGGAAACGAAUCAAAGACUUAUGGUUUAUGUUUUUGGCUAUGUUUUUUUAUUAUUGUAUUGUAUUAUUUUUUCACAGUUACCAAGGCCUUUUUUUAAAUGAAGGUUCAAUUUCACUAAUUGAAUGCACUUGUUAAUUAAUUGAUUGAUGCACCUAUAAAUGUACCAUUGUACACAGAUCCAUUAUGCUUGACAAAGGGGCUUGCCCCGAAACAUUGCACUUCCGCUAAUAAAAUUUUACAAGG